GACGAACGCUGGCGGCGUGCUUAACACAUGCAAGUCGAACGGAAAGGCCCUGCUUACAGGGUACUCGAGUGGCGAACGGGUGAGUAACACGUGGGUGAUCUGCCCUGCACUUCGGGAUAAGCCUGGGAAACUGGGUCUAAUACCGGAUAGGAGCCAUUUUUAGUGUGAUGGUUGGAAAGUUUUUUCGGUGUAGGAUGAGCUCGCGGCCUAUCAGCUUGUUGGUGGGGUAAUGGCCUACCAAGGCGGCGACGGGUAGCCGGCCUGAGAGGGUGGACGGCCACAUUGGGACUGAGAUACGGCCCAGACUCCUACGGGAGGCAGCAGUGGGGAAUAUUGCACAAUGGGCGCAAGCCUGAUGCAGCGACGCCGCGUGGGGGAUGACGGCCUUCGGGUUGUAAACUCUUUUCGCUAGGGACGAAGCUUUUUGUGACGGUACCUAGAUAAGAAGCACCGGCUAACUACGUG
Molecule: ribosomal RNA, 465 nt
Filed under: uncultured bacterium
Lineage: Bacteria
Description: partial 16S ribosomal RNA
Rfam family: Bacterial small subunit ribosomal RNA
Source: RNAcentral